GUUAUAUGGUCAAGUGAAGAAGCGCAUACGGUGGAUGCCUUGGCAGUCAGAGGCGAUGAAAGACGUGGUAGCCUGCGAAAAGCUUCGGGGAGUCGGCAAACAGACUGUGAUCCGGAGAUGUCUGAAUGGGGGAACCCAGCCAUCACAAGAUGGUUAUCUUGUACUGAAUACAUAGGUGCAAGAGGCGAACCAGGGGAACUGAAACAUCUAAGUACCCUGAGGAAAAGAAAUCAACCGAGAUUCCCUUAGUAGUGGCGAGCGAACGGGGACCAGCCCUUAAGUUGUAUUGAGAUUAGCGGAACACUCUGGAAAGGGUGGCCAUAGUGGGUGAUAGCCCUGUACGCGAAAAUCCCUUUGCAAUGAAAUCGAGUAGGACGGGGCACGAGAAACCUUGUCUGAAUAUGGGGGGACCAUCCUCCAAGGCUAAAUACUACUGACUGACCGAUAGUGAACCAGUACCGUGAGGGAAAGGCGAAAAGAACCGCGGAGAGCGGAGUGAAAUAGAUCCUGAAACCGUAUGCGUACAAGCAGUGGGAGCCCACUUUGUUGGGUGACUGCGUACCUUUUGUAUAAUGGGUCAGCGACUUAUUUUCAGUGGCGAGCUUAACCGAAUAGGGGAGGCGUAGCGAAAGCGAGUCUUAAUAGGGCGUCUAGUCGCUGGGAAUAGACCCGAAACCGGGCGAUCUAUCCAUGGGCAGGUUGAAGGUUGGGUAACACUAACUGGAGGACCGAACCGACUACCGUUGAAAAGUUAGCGGAUGACCUGUGGAUCGGAGUGAAAGGCUAAUCAAGCUCGGAGAUAGCUGGUUCUCCUCGAAAGCUAUUUAGGUAGCGCCUCAUGUAUCACUGUAGGGGGUAGAGCACUGUUUCGGCUAGGGGGUCAUCCCGACUUACCAAACCGAUGCAAACUCCGAAUACCUACAAGUGCCGAGCAUGGGAGACACACGGCGGGUGCUAACGUCCGUCGUGAAAAGGGAAACAACCCAGACCGUCAGCUAAGGUCCCAAAGUCAUGGUUAAGUGGGAAACGAUGUGGGAAGGCUUAGACAGCUAGGAGGUUGGCUUAGAAGCAGCCACCCUUUAAAGAAAGCGUAAUAGCUCACUAGUCGAGUCGGCCUGCGCGGAAGAUGUAACGGGGCUCAAACCAUGCACCGAAGCUACGGGUAUCAUCUUAGGAUGAUGCGGUAGAGGAGCGUUCUGUAAGCCUGUGAAGGUGAGUUGAGAAGCUUGCUGGAGGUAUCAGAAGUGCGAAUGCUGACAUGAGUAACGACAAUGGGUGUGAAAAACACCCACGCCGAAAGACCAAGGUUUCCUGCGCAACGUUAAUCGACGCAGGGUUAGUCGGUCCCUAAGGCGAGGCUGAAAAGCGUAGUCGAUGGAAAACAGGUUAAUAUUCCUGUACUUCUGGUUAUUGCGAUGGAGGGACGGAGAAGGCUAGGCCAGCCUGGCGUUGGUUGUCCAGGUUUAAGGUGGUAGGCUGAGAUCUUAGGUAAAUCCGGGAUCUCAAGGCCGAGAGCUGAUGACGAGUGUUCUUUUAGAACACGAAGUGGUUGAUGCCAUGCUUCCAAGAAAAGCUUCUAAGCUUCAGGUAACCAGGAACCGUACCCCAAACCGACACAGGUGGUUGGGUAGAGAAUACCAAGGCGCUUGAGAGAACUCGGGUGAAGGAACUAGGCAAAAUGGCACCGUAACUUCGGGAGAAGGUGCGCCGGUGGAGGUGAAGCAUUUACUGCGUAAGCCCCUGCCGGUCGAAGAUACCAGGCCGCUGCGACUGUUUAUUAAAAACACAGCACUCUGCAAACACGAAAGUGGACGUAUAGGGUGUGACGCCUGCCCGGUGCCGGAAGGUUAAUUGAUGGGGUUAGCGCAAGCGAAGCUCUUGAUCGAAGCCCCGGUAAACGGCGGCCGUAACUAUAACGGUCCUAAGGUAGCGAAAUUCCUUGUCGGGUAAGUUCCGACCUGCACGAAUGGCGUAACGAUGGCGGCGCUGUCUCCACCCGAGACUCAGUGAAAUUGAAAUCGCUGUGAAGAUGCAGUGUAUCCGCGGCUAGACGGAAAGACCCCGUGAACCUUUACUAUAGCUUUGCACUGGACUUUGAAUUUGCUUGUGUAGGAUAGGUGGGAGGCUUUGAAGCGUGGACGCCAGUCUGCGUGGAGCCAACCUUGAAAUACCACCCUGGCAACUUUGAGGUUCUAACUCAGGUCCGUUAUCCGGAUCGAGGACAGUGUAUGGUGGGUAGUUUGACUGGGGCGGUCUCCUCCUAAAGAGUAACGGAGGAGUACGAAGGUGCGCUCAGACCGGUCGGAAAUCGGUCGUAGAGUAUAAAGGCAAAAGCGCGCUUGACUGCGAGACAGACACGUCGAGCAGGUACGAAAGUAGGUCUUAGUGAUCCGGUGGUUCUGUAUGGAAGGGCCAUCGCUCAACGGAUAAAAGGUACUCCGGGGAUAACAGGCUGAUACCGCCCAAGAGUUCAUAUCGACGGCGGUGUUUGGCACCUCGAUGUCGGCUCAUCACAUCCUGGGGCUGAAGCCGGUCCCAAGGGUAUGGCUGUUCGCCAUUUAAAGUGGUACGCGAGCUGGGUUUAGAACGUCGUGAGACAGUUCGGUCCCUAUCUGCCGUGGACGUUUGAGAUUUGAGAGGGGCUGCUCCUAGUACGAGAGGACCGGAGUGGACGAACCUCUGGUGUUCCGGUUGUCACGCCAGUGGCAUUGCCGGGUAGCUAUGUUCGGAAAAGAUAACCGCUGAAAGCAUCUAAGCGGGAAACUUGCCUCAAGAUGAGAUCUCACUGGAACCUUGAGUUCCCUGAAGGGCCGUCGAAGACUACGACGUUGAUAGGUUGGGUGUGUAAGCGCUGUGAGGCGUUGAGCUAACCAAUACUAAUUGCCCGUGAGGCUUGACCAUAUAACACCCAAGCAAUU
This 2918-nucleotide ribosomal RNA is filed under the name Pseudomonas congelans. RNAcentral describes it as "23S ribosomal RNA". It matches the Rfam family "Bacterial large subunit ribosomal RNA". Lineage: Bacteria; Pseudomonadati; Pseudomonadota; Gammaproteobacteria; Pseudomonadales; Pseudomonadaceae. The record is from RNAcentral.